This 244-nucleotide ribosomal RNA is filed under the name uncultured bacterium. RNAcentral describes it as "partial 16S ribosomal RNA". It matches the Rfam family "Bacterial small subunit ribosomal RNA", at positions 528 to 772 of the family's 1533-position model. The record is from RNAcentral.
GAGGAUGCGAGCGUUAUCCGGUUUUAUUGGGUUUAAAGGGUGCGUAGGCGGACUGUUAAGUCAGCGGUAAAAGCCCGGAGCUCAACUCCGGCGAGCCGUUGAAACUGGUGGUCUUGAGUUGGAGAGAAGUAUGCGGAAUGCGCAGUGUAGCGGUGAAAUGCAUAGAUAUUGCGCAGAACUCCGAUUGCGAAGGCAGCAUACCGGUUCCAUACUGACGCUGAGGCACGAAAGCGUGGGGAUCAAA